GAUACCAGGGUACCAAAGUCUUUACCCACCUGAGCUUGCUCAAAGGUGGGUAAAUGACCUUGGGACCCGCCAAAAUAUGAGCAUAAAAGUGGGACGACAGUCCCACGAUAUGCGAAUAUUUUGUAGGAUUGCGAGAGCACGCAGUGCGUAGCAAUCCGUAGGUAUC
RNAcentral lists this small RNA (166 nucleotides) under uncultured Acetatifactor sp. RNAcentral describes it as "Clostridiales-1 RNA". It matches the Rfam family "Clostridiales-1 RNA". Lineage: Bacteria; Bacillati; Bacillota; Clostridia; Lachnospirales; Lachnospiraceae. The record is from RNAcentral.